RNAcentral lists this ribosomal RNA (255 nucleotides) under uncultured bacterium. Its description in RNAcentral is "partial 16S ribosomal RNA". It matches the Rfam family "Bacterial small subunit ribosomal RNA", at positions 524 to 776 of the family's 1533-position model. The record is from RNAcentral.
UACGUAGGGCGCAAGCGUUGUCCGGAAUUAUUGGGCGUAAAGGGCUCGUAGGCGGUUUGCCGCGUCGGGGAGUGAAAACUCAGGGCUCAACCCUGAGCGUGCUUCCGAUACGGGCAGACUAGAGGUAUGCAGGGGAGAACGGAAUUCCUGGUGUAGCGGUGGAAUGCGCAGAUAUCAGGAGGAACACCGGUGGCGAAGGCGGUUCUCUGGGCAUUACCUGACGCUGAGGAGCGAAAGCAUGGGGGAGCGAACAGG